Molecule: non-coding RNA, 571 nt
Organism: Podarcis lilfordi (Lilford's wall lizard)
Lineage: Eukaryota; Metazoa; Chordata; Lepidosauria; Squamata; Lacertidae
Source: the annotation of a GenBank genome assembly
AACCAUCUGGGCCAGGUCAGUAGUGCAACCUGCAGGGAGGAUGAAUUAGGCUGCAACCCCAACUCGGAACCAAAGAACCCGGAGCUGUGAGUCUGAAAAACAACAGCCUCAUGGCCAGAUUCACCAAAGGAAGGACUCACUUUAUACCAGGGCCCCACACAUUCCAAGACCUGCUUGCUGGACACAGCACAAGGCUGGAGCUCACAAAGCAAAGGGAAUAAGAACUGCAGUCCAUAGUCAGCCAGGUAACAGAAGGCCCCCAAAUACUUCUUAUAUGAGAAUUUGGCUUCUUGGCCUCAACCCAGAAGUUUCCCAGCUUCCCCAUUUCUCAAAAUGUGGCAGGGAUAAGAAGCGGGAAUAGCAGAAUUCCCAAAACUAUUUAUGAACAGGGAAUGUUUCUGUGUAUCUAUUAAGGAUAGCACAAGUUGAAUUUUAAACAAAUGUCUAUUUUUCCUCCAGCAAAAAAACAACAACAAACCCAGGUAUUUAAGUCCUGGACAGCUGGAGAUCCCAAAGUGAAAAUUGUACACAUCUUCUAAUUCCUCUUUUAAAAAAAGUUUUAAAAAAGAAA